GUUUAGCCCUGAUUGCAGCGGCAUCCUUUUUAUGCUGAACUCGUUUCAGUAUCUUUUUUUUAAAAUCAAUUCUUUUUCCUUGUAACAGAUGCUGAAAUAAAUUCAGCAUAAAUAAAAAGAUAUAGCGAAAAGCAGGAAAUAGC
This 143-nucleotide small RNA is filed under the name Tenacibaculum todarodis. Its description in RNAcentral is "Tenacibaculum sp. LPB0136 Flavo-1 RNA". It matches the Rfam family "Flavo-1 RNA". The record is from Rfam by way of RNAcentral. Lineage: Bacteria; Pseudomonadati; Bacteroidota; Flavobacteriia; Flavobacteriales; Flavobacteriaceae.